UACGUAGGGAGCAAGCGUUGUCCGGAAUCAUUGGGCGUAAAGCGCGCGUAGGUGGCCACAUAAGUCCGUUGUGAAAGUCAAAGGCUCAACCUUUGAAAGCCGAUGGAUACUGUGUGGCUAGAGUACGGAGGAGGCGAGUGGAAUUCCUGGUGUAGCGGUGGAAUGCGCAGAUAUCAGGAGGAACACCAACAGCGAAGGCAGCUCGCUGGGACGUUACUGACACUGAGGCGCGAAAGCGUGGGGAGCGAACAGG
RNAcentral lists this ribosomal RNA (253 nucleotides) under uncultured bacterium. Its description in RNAcentral is "partial 16S ribosomal RNA". It matches the Rfam family "Bacterial small subunit ribosomal RNA", at positions 524 to 776 of the family's 1533-position model. The record is from RNAcentral.